GAAAAGAACUUUGAAAAGAGAGUUAAACAGUACGUGAAAUUGUUGAAAGGGAAACGAUUAAAGUCAGUCGUACCAGCGGGAAAUCAACCUUUCGAGAGUGGUAUUUUGGAGUUUUGAAGAGUGUUAAAAACCUUUGAGAUUUCAAAAUUUUCGCUUUUUUGGUGUACUUUCUCGUAGGUAGGUUAACAUCGAUUUUUGAUCAUCAUAAAAGGACCGGAGGAAUGUAGCUUCGAUCUCGUAUUGAAGUGUUAUAGACUUUGGUAAAUGUGGUGAUUAGGAUCGAGGAUUGCAACGAAUACCCUUUUUAGCUAUCCGUCUGAUCUCUGAUACGUGACCUCGGUAUCGAAAGCACGCUUAUGGCAUACAAGUUGGCGGUCAACAGGUUAGAACGCGAUUACAU
RNAcentral lists this ribosomal RNA (400 nucleotides) under uncultured Glomeromycotina. Its description in RNAcentral is "eukaryotic LSU rRNA". Lineage: Eukaryota; Fungi; Glomeromycota. The record is from RNAcentral.